GACCUCAAAUCAAGUAGGACUACCCGCUGAACUUAAGCAUAUCAAUAAGCGGAGGAA
RNAcentral lists this ribosomal RNA (57 nucleotides) under Schizophyllum sp. ZH9-E1. RNAcentral describes it as "partial 28S ribosomal RNA". The record is from RNAcentral. Lineage: Eukaryota; Fungi; Basidiomycota; Agaricomycetes; Agaricales; Schizophyllaceae.